RNAcentral lists this ribosomal RNA (613 nucleotides) under Acanthurus sohal. Its description in RNAcentral is "partial small subunit ribosomal RNA". It matches the Rfam family "Bacterial small subunit ribosomal RNA", at positions 546 to 1440 of the family's 1533-position model. Lineage: Eukaryota; Metazoa; Chordata; Actinopteri; Acanthuriformes; Acanthuridae. The record is from RNAcentral.
GACAGACAAUCGGCGUAAAGAGUGGUUAAGUACUAUACUUUACUAAAGCCAAACACCUUCAAAGCUGUUAUACGCACCCGAAGGUCAGAAGCCCAAUCACGAAAGUGGCUUUAAACUAACUGAACCCACGAAAGCUAGGGCACAAACUGGGAUUAGAUACCCCACUAUGCCUAGCCUUAAACAUUGAUGAUAGCUUACAAUUAUCAUCCGCCUGGGAACUACGAGCACCAGCUUAAAACCCAAAGGACUUGGCGGUGCUUUAGACCCACCUAGAGGAGCCUGUUCUAGAACCGAUAACCCCCGUUCAACCUCACCCUUCCUUGUUCUCCCCGCCUAUAUACCACCGUCGUCAGCUUACCCUAUGAAGGCCUAACAGUAAGCAAAACCGGCAAAGCCCAAAACGUCAGGUCGAGGUGUAGCGUAUGGAAGGGGAAGAAAUGGGCUACAUUCACUAACUCAGUGUACACGAAUGACACCCUGAAACACGUGUCUGAAGGAGGAUUUAGCAGUAAGCAGAAAAUAGAGUGUUCUACUGAAACUGGCCCUGAAGCGCGCACACACCGCCCGUCACUCUCCCCGAGCUAAGACUCUCAAAUAAAUAAAUAACCAUACC